UACGUAGGGGGCAAGCGUUGUCCGGAAUCAUUGGGCGUAAAGAGCGUGUAGGCGGCCAAGUAGGUCCGGUGUGAAAACUCGAGGCUUAACCUCGAGAUGUCAUCGGAAACCAUUUGGCUAGAGUCCGGAAGAGGAAAGUGGAAUUCCUGGUGUAGGGGUGAAAUCCGUAGAUAUCAGGAGGAACAUCGGUGGCGAAGGCGGCAUCCUGGACCGAGAUUGACGCUGAGGCGCGAAAGCUAGGGGAGCAAACGGG
RNAcentral lists this ribosomal RNA (253 nucleotides) under uncultured bacterium. RNAcentral's name for it is "partial 16S ribosomal RNA". It matches the Rfam family "Bacterial small subunit ribosomal RNA", at positions 524 to 776 of the family's 1533-position model. The record is from RNAcentral.